AGAGUUUGAUUCUGGCUCAGGAUGAACGCUGGCGGCGUGCCUAAUACAUGCAAGUUGAACGGGGUGGAGUAAUCCACCAAGUAGCGAACGGGUGAGUAAUACGUAAGUAACCUACCUUCAUGUGGGGGAUAACUAGAGGAAACUCUUGCUAAUACCGCAUAAAAAGCACUUGACAUCAAGUGAAGCAAAAAGAUGGAGCAAUCCAUCGCAAGAAGAUGGGCUUACGGCGCAUUAGCUAGUUGGUGAGGUAACGGCUCACCAAGGUGAUGAUGCGUAGCCGACCUGAGAGGGUGAUCGGCCACAUUGGGACUGAGACACGGCCCAAACUCCUACGGGAGGCAGCAGUAGGGACUUUUCGGCAAUGGGGGGAACCCUGACCGAGCAACGCCGCGUGAAGGAAGAAGGUCUUCGGAUUGUAAACUUCUGUUAUAGGGAAAGAAUGAUACUUAGAGGAAAUGCUGGGUAAGUGACGGUACCCUAUUAGAAAGCCACGGCUAACUACGUGCCAGCAGCCGCGGUAAUACGUAGGUGGCAAGCGUUAUCCGGAAUUAUUGGGCGUAAAGAGUGAGUAGGCGGUUUCUUAAGUUUGAAGUGAAAAGCAGUUGCUUAACAACUGUUUGCUUUGAAAACUGGGGAACUAGAGUGCAGGAGAGGUUAACGGAAUUCCAUGUGUAGCGGUGAAAUGCGUAGAUAUAAGGAGGAACACCAGUGGCGAAGGCGGUUAACUGGCCUGUGACUGACGCUCAGUCACGAAAGCGUGGGGAGCAAAUAGGAUUAGAUACCCUAGUAGUCCACGCUGU
This 800-nucleotide ribosomal RNA is filed under the name uncultured bacterium. Its description in RNAcentral is "bacterial SSU rRNA". It matches the Rfam family "Bacterial small subunit ribosomal RNA", at positions 8 to 803 of the family's 1533-position model. The record is from RNAcentral.